This 332-nucleotide unclassified non-coding RNA is filed under the name soil metagenome. RNAcentral describes it as "partial contains 5.8S ribosomal RNA, internal transcribed spacer 2, and large subunit ribosomal RNA". The stretch from base 1 to 120 matches the Rfam family "5.8S ribosomal RNA", at positions 35 to 154 of the family's 154-position model. The record is from RNAcentral.
GAUGAAGAACGUAGUGAAAUGCGAUACGUAAUGUGAAUUGCAGAAUUCAGUGAAUCAUCGAAUCUUUGAACGCACAUUGCGCCCGCCAGCACUCUGGCGGGCAUGCCUGUUCGAGCGUCAUUUCAACCAUCAAGCCCCAGGCUUGCGUUGGAGCCCUGCGGCUGCCGCAGCCUCCUAAAAGCAGUGGCGGGCUCGCUAUCACACCGAGUGCAGUAGAUUACUCUUCGCUCAGGGCGUGCAGCGGGUUCCGGCCGUGAAACCCCCUACUUUUAAAGGUUGACCUCGGAUCAGGUAGGAAUACCCGCUGAACUUAAGCAUAUCAAUACGGAGGA